This 451-nucleotide ribosomal RNA is filed under the name uncultured bacterium. Its description in RNAcentral is "bacterial SSU rRNA". It matches the Rfam family "Bacterial small subunit ribosomal RNA", at positions 28 to 524 of the family's 1533-position model. The record is from RNAcentral.
GACGAACGCUGGCGGCAUGCCUAACACAUGCAAGUCGAACGAAGCCUUCGGGCUUAGUGGCGCACGGGUGCGUAACGCGUGGGAAUCUGCCCUUGGGUUCGGAAUAACAGUUAGAAAUGACUGCUAAUACCGAAUGAUGUCUUCGGACCAAAGAUUUAUCGCCCAAGGAUGAGCCCGCGUCGGAUUAGCUAGUUGGUGAGGUAAAGGCUCACCAAGGCGACGAUCCGUAGCUGGUCUGAGAGGAUGAUCAGCCACACUGGGACUGAGAUACGGCCCAGACUCCUACGGGAGGCAGCAGUGGGGAAUAUUGGACAAUGGGGGGCAACCCUGAUCCAGCAAUGCCGCGUGAGUGAUGAAGGCCUUAGGGUUGUAAAGCUCUUUUACCAGGGACGAUGAUGACGGUACCUGGAGAAUAAGCCCCGGCUAACUUCGUGCCAGCAGCCGCGGUAAU